AGCAUAUCAAUAAGCGGAGGAAAAGAAACCAACAGGGAUUGCCUCAGUAACGGCGAGUGAAGCGGCAAGAGCUCAAAUUUGAAAUCUGGCGCAAGCCCGAGUUGUAAUUUGAAGAGGAUGCCUCGGUGAAGGCGCUGGCCGAAGUUCCUUGGAACAGGACGUCGCAGAGGGUGAGAAUCCCGUGCGGCAGGCGCCGGAUCCAUGUGUGGCUCCUUCGAAGAGUCGAGUUGUUUGGGAAUGCAGCUCAAAAUGGGUGGUAAAUUUCAUCUAAAGCUAAAUAUUGGCGGGAGACCGAUAGCGCACAAGUAGAGUGAUCGAAAGAUGAAAAGCACUUUGAAAAGAGAGUUAAACAGUACGUGAAAUUGUUGAAAGGGAAGCGCUCGCGAUCAGACUCGCCUGCGGUUGAUCAACGUUCCUUCUGGUUCGUGCACUCUUCCGCUGGCGGGCCAGCAUCGGUCGGGACGGCGGGACAAAGGCGCCGGGAAUGUGGCUCUUCGGAGUGUUAUAGCCCGGCGCGCCAUGCCGCCUGCCCCGACCGAGGUCCGCGCGCAAGCUAGGAUGCUGGCUUAAUGAUCGCGAGCGACCCGUCUUGAAACACGGACCAAGGAGUCUAACAUCUAUGCGAGUUUUUGGGCGUUAAACCCAUGAGCGCAAUGAAAGUGAACGGAGGUGGGAGCCCUCGCGGGUGCACCAUCGACCGAUCCUGAUGUCUUCGGAUGGAUUUGAGUAUGAGCAUAGCUGUUGGGACCCGAAAGAUGGUGAACUAUGCCUGAAUAGGGUGAAGCCAGAGGAAACUCUGGUGGAGGCUCGCAGCGGUUCUGACGUGCAAAUCGAUCGUCAAAUUUGGGUAUAGGGGCGAAAGACUAAUCGAACCAUCUAGUAGCUGGUUCCUGCCGA
Molecule: ribosomal RNA, 897 nt
Filed under: Orbilia coccinella
Lineage: Eukaryota; Fungi; Ascomycota; Orbiliomycetes; Orbiliales; Orbiliaceae
Description: LSU rRNA
Rfam family: Eukaryotic large subunit ribosomal RNA
Source: RNAcentral